GACGAACGCUGGCGGCGUGCCUAAUACAUGCAAGUCGAGCGAACAUUUGAGAGCUUGCUCUCAGGAUGUUAGCGGCGGACGGGUGAGUAACACGUGGGCAACCUGCCUAUAAGACUGGGAUAACUUCGGGAAACCGGAGCUAAUACCGGAUAAUUCAUAUCUACUCAUGUAGAUAUGCUGAAAGACGGUUUACGCUGUCACUUAUAGAUGGGCCCGCGGCGCAUUAGCUAGUUGGUGAGGUAACGGCUCACCAAGGCCACGAUGCGUAGCCGACCUGAGAGGGUGAUCGGCCACACUGGGACUGAGACACGGCCCAAACUCCUACGGGAGGCAGCAGUGGGGAAUAUUGGACAAUGGGCGAAAGCCUGAUCCAGCCAUGCCGCGUGAGUGAUGAAGGCCUUAGGGUUGUAAGCUCUUUUACCCGGAAGAUAAUGACGAUACCGGGAGAAUAAGCCC
This 456-nucleotide ribosomal RNA is filed under the name uncultured bacterium. RNAcentral describes it as "bacterial SSU rRNA". It matches the Rfam family "Bacterial small subunit ribosomal RNA", at positions 28 to 493 of the family's 1533-position model. The record is from RNAcentral.